This is a non-coding RNA of Paramuricea clavata, 68 nucleotides long. The record is from the annotation of a GenBank genome assembly. NCBI's taxonomy places the organism in Eukaryota, Metazoa, Cnidaria, Anthozoa, Malacalcyonacea, Plexauridae.
GUUCAACCCCGGGCUUGAAAUUUCAAUCCUGCUGAGGCAGGGUUGAAAUUUCAACCCCGGGGUUAAAC